Molecule: ribosomal RNA, 820 nt
Filed under: Neocallimastix sp. NYR1
Lineage: Eukaryota; Fungi; Neocallimastigomycota; Neocallimastigomycetes; Neocallimastigales; Neocallimastigaceae
Description: eukaryotic LSU rRNA
Rfam family: Eukaryotic large subunit ribosomal RNA
Source: RNAcentral
ACUUGAUCUCAAACCAGAUAAGAGUACCCGCUGAACUUAAGCAUAUCAAUAAGCGGAGGAAAAGAAACUAACAAGGAUUCCCUUAGUAACGGCGAGUGAAGCGGGAAGAGCUCAAAUUUGAAAUCUUCAAGGUUCUACCUUGACGAAUUGUAGUUUAAAGAAGUGUUUUCUGUUAGAUGAGUAGCAAAAGUUCCUUGGAAUGGGACAUCAUAGAGGGUGAGAAUCCCGUAUUUGGUUAUUCAUUCUAGCUUUGUGAUACACUUUCAAAGAGUCGGAUUGUUUGGGAAUGCAGUCCAAAAUGGGUGGUAAAUUUCAUCUAAAGCUAAAUAUUGGCGAGAGACUGAUAGCGAACAAGUACCGUGAGGGAAAGAUGAAAAGAACUUUGAAAAGAGAGUUAAACAGUACGUGAAAUUGUCAAAAGGGAAGCGUUUGACACCAGUGUUGUUCUUCCGAAAAUCAAUUACGAAUGGCUUGAUUCUGUGUUGUAUUGACCUUAUCAGCUUUCUUCACUUUUUUCGAGUCUUUCUUAAUGCACUUUUCGGUUAACAAGUCAACAUCAAUUUCUUUUGUUGUAAAAGAGUAUUCGGAAGGUGGCUUUCUUUUCGGAGAAAGUGUUUAUAGCCCUAUACUUCUACAAUCGGAGAGAUUGAGGUCUGCAGCGUAGAUCCUUCGGGGUUAGAUACACUUGUGCUAAGUUGUAGCUUUUCAUAGACAACUUGUUGACUAUGUUUAGUCAUGCGGCUUACUCGCUUGUGCUAUUUUACCUACGCUUAGGAUGUUGACAAAAUGGUUUUAAACGACCCGUCUUGAAACACGGACC